RNAcentral lists this ribosomal RNA (253 nucleotides) under uncultured bacterium. RNAcentral's name for it is "partial 16S ribosomal RNA". It matches the Rfam family "Bacterial small subunit ribosomal RNA", at positions 524 to 776 of the family's 1533-position model. The record is from RNAcentral.
UACAGAGGGUGCGAGCGUUGUUCGGAAUUAUUGGGCGUAAAGGGCGCGUAGGCGGCGCGGUAAGUCACCUGUGAAAUCUCCUGGCUCAACUGGGAGCUUGCAGGCGAAACUGCCGUGCUGGAGUGUGGGAGAGGUGCGUGGAAUUCCCGGUGUAGCGGUGAAAUGCGUAGAUAUCGGGGAGGAACACCUGUGGCGAAAGCGGCGCACUGGACCACAACUACGCUGAGGCGCGAAAGCUGGGGGAGCAAACAGG